GAUGAACGCUGGCGGCGUGCCUAAUACAUGCAAGUCGAGCGAACAGACGAGGAGCUUGCUCCUCUGACGUUAGCGGCGGACGGGUGAGUAACACGUGGAUAACCUACCUAUAAGACUGGGAUAACUUCGGGAAACCGGAGCUAAUACCGGAUAACAUGUUGAACCGCAUGGUUCAACAGUGAAAGACGGUCUUGCUGUCACUUAUAGAUGGAUCCGCGCCGCAUUAGCUAGUUGGUAAGGUAACGGCUUACCAAGGCAACGAUGCGUAGCCGACCUGAGAGGGGGAUCGGCCACACUGGAACUGAGACACGGUCCAGACUCCUACGGGAGGCAGCAGUAGGGAAUCUUCCGCAAUGGGCGAAAGCCUGACGGAGCAACGCCGCGGGAGGGAAGAAGGUCUUCGGAUCGUAAAACUCUGUUAUUAGGGAAGAACAAAUGUGUAAGUAACUAUGCACGUCUUGACGGUACCUAAUCAGAAAGCCACGGCUAACUACGUG
Molecule: ribosomal RNA, 497 nt
Filed under: uncultured bacterium
Lineage: Bacteria
Description: partial 16S ribosomal RNA
Rfam family: Bacterial small subunit ribosomal RNA
Source: RNAcentral